This 166-nucleotide unclassified non-coding RNA is filed under the name Leucosporidium fragarium. Its description in RNAcentral is "ITS 1". The record is from RNAcentral. Lineage: Eukaryota; Fungi; Basidiomycota; Microbotryomycetes; Leucosporidiales; Leucosporidiaceae.
GUGAAUAUUAGCGCAUCUCUUCGGAGAGCGUGACCUCCACUUUCUAACUCUGUGCAUUUAUUUGGCGGGAAACUAUGUAGAUCAGUAGUAAUACUCGAACUACAUGUUUCCUGCGGCUCAUUUUAUAACACUAGUUAAAGUAUGUAACGAAAUAUCGAAACAAAAA